CAGUCGCCACGGUAAUACGUAGGGUGCGAGCGUUAAUCGGAAUUACUGGGCGUAAAGCGUGCGCAGGCGGUUGUGUAAGACAGGUGUGAAAUCCCCGGGCUUAACCUGGGAACUGCGCUUGUGACUGCACAGCUAGAGUGCGGCAGAGGGGGAUGGAAUUCCGCGUGUAGCAGUGAAAUGCGUAGAUAUGCGGAGGAACACCGAUGGCGAAGGCAAUCCCCUGGGCCUGCACUGACGCUCAUGCACGAAAGCGUGGGGAGCAAACAGGAUUAGAUACCCCCGUAGUCCCUGUCUCUUAUAC
Molecule: ribosomal RNA, 301 nt
Filed under: uncultured bacterium
Lineage: Bacteria
Description: partial 16S ribosomal RNA
Rfam family: Bacterial small subunit ribosomal RNA
Source: RNAcentral